This 1399-nucleotide long non-coding RNA is filed under the name Homo sapiens (human). Its description in RNAcentral is "HSALNT0392172". The record is from RNAcentral. Lineage: Eukaryota; Metazoa; Chordata; Mammalia; Primates; Hominidae.
GCGCGCUCGCGACCCUGCGCGGGCCGGCGGGCGGGUCUGAGUUGGGGCGCCCUCCGAGGGUCGCCGGGAGGGCCGAAGGGCUGACGGGCCUGGCCCCUCCCCGGGACUGCCGCGCCGUGGGGAGGGCCCUGCUGCGCCCCGAAACUGCCUGACCCGGGGCGGGGCCGCGCCGGAGCUGGGGUGGGUCCCCGAGUCCCCGGCCACGCUGCGGGGCUUUGCUCCCUGGGACGUCCCUUGCAAUCUUUCCCCUCGGGCUCCACGAGGAUCUCGGGCGCCAGUGCCGGGCUGAGGAAGGGGCGCGGCGGGGGUCCGCGACGCUCUGCGUCCCUGGGCGCGGGGGAGCUCUCAGGAGCCCUCACCUCGCCCCGGUCACCAUAGGAAACAGCCCGCCCGUCCCCAAGCGCAGCCACCACCAUGCAGGUCCCUCCACGGGGCGCCCUGCCCCGGAUCUCCGUUCGUUUGAAGACCGAGGCCCCUUUCUACCCGACCCGACACAUCCCUGCCCCUCAAAUCACAGGCCUGAUUGUCCCCAGGCGCGCGCUCCGGGUUGGGGCUACCCCGCCCCCUUAUGUGCUGAGAAGGUGGUGUGGAGUGAGGCCUUUGUUUCAUUCUGGUCACCUGUAGACAUUAUAGGGAAACUGAGGUAGACAAUGGGAGCCCUGACUUUUUUGAAGGUCGGCUCCCCAGCUUCGGGCGGUCGGGGGGAUACCCUCUUCUGUUUACGAUGCUAGUUAAGAGCAGCGAUCAGGGCUGGCGUGGGUUUAGCCACAGGCUUGUCCAGGGCGCUCACUCCUCGCCAGGAGCGGCGCCGGUGCUUUGGUUACACCCCGAGAGGCGCCCGGCACUACGGUUUCCUUGUGCGCUGCUGGAAUUUUCAGGGUUGGAGCGCCGGCCGCGUAGGGGUGGCAGUGAGGCCGCGCAGUGAGGGGACGGACUCGCCCGAGGUCGCAGAGCGUUCAGAUUGACUCGACAGGCUGGGGGGCGGGGCCGGGGUCCCCACGCGGAGUCCGGGGCCCUGCAACGUUAGCUCGCGACCCCGUGUUUGGGAGUGACAACAGCGAGUCAGGGCAAGGCGGCCGGCCCAGCUCACCUGCGGGCUGCAGUCAGCCCGGACGCCGAGACCCGUGCCUAAGGCCCCCGUGCCCCAGGCCUCCCAGGGGUGCUGAGCGCCCCCAGGCCCAGAAUCUCCGGGGGCCCGGGCAAGGCUGUCAGGUGCCUGGCACGGUUGCUGUCCAGGGCUUAGAGGACAGAGGAAGAGCCCCUGAGUCUGUGCACACUCUGCCACCAUGGCCCUGCCCACCUCUGGAGCCCACAGGUGCCCAGCCCAGGCCCCUUGCUUUUGGCUAGACUCCUGCCCUACGGGGACCCCCAUGAUGGCCACUCAGGAGAUGGGCCCAGG